This 350-nucleotide unclassified non-coding RNA is filed under the name soil metagenome. RNAcentral describes it as "partial contains 5.8S ribosomal RNA, internal transcribed spacer 2, and large subunit ribosomal RNA". The stretch from base 1 to 120 matches the Rfam family "5.8S ribosomal RNA", at positions 35 to 154 of the family's 154-position model. The record is from RNAcentral.
GAUGAAGAACGCAGCGAAACGCGAUAAGUAAUGUGAAUUGCAGAAUUUAGUGAAUCAUCGAAUCUUUGAACGCACAUUGCGCCCGCCAGUAUUCUGGCGGGCAUGCCUGUUCGAGCGUCAUUUCAACCCUCAAGCCCAGCUUGGUGUUGGGGAUCGGCACAGGCGCCCUCGGGCGCCCGCCGUCCCCUAAAUCUAGUGGCGGUCCCGCUGCAGCCUCCUCUGCGUAGUAGUUUUCUCCUCGCAAGGGCAGCUCGGUGGCGACCUCGCCGUAAAACCCCCAACUUCUGAAAGGUUGACCUCGAAUCAGGUAGGAAUACCCGCUGAACUUAAGCAUAUCAAUAAGCGGAGGA